UUCCGGUUGAUCCCGCCGGACCUGACUGCUAUCGGAUUGAUACUAAGCCAUGCUAGUCUUUGUAGUAAUACAAGGCAUACGGCUCAGUAACGCGUAGUCAACCUACCCUAUGGACGGGGAUAAUCUCGGGAAACUGAGCAUAAUACCCGGCAGACCACUUAUCCUGGAAUGGUUAGUGGUUAAAAUGAUUCGUCGCCAUAGGAUGGGACUGCGGCCUAUCAGCUUGUUGGUGAGGUAAUGGCCCACCAAGGCGAUUACAGGUACGGGCUCUGAGAGGAGAGGCCCGGAGAUGGGUACUGAGACAAGGACCCAGGCCCUAUGGGGCGCAGCAGGCGAGAAAACUUUGCAAUGUGCGAAAGCACGACAAGGUUAAUCCGAGUGAUUUCUGCUAAAGGAAUCUUUUGUUAGUUCUAAAAAUACUAGUGAAUAAGGGGUGGGCAAGUUCUGGUGUCAGCCGCCGCGGUAAAACCAGCACCUCAAGUGGUCAGGAGGAUUAUUGGGCCUAAAGCAUCCGUAGCCUGUUCUAUAAGUUUGCGGUUAAAUCUAUACGCUCAACGUAUAGGCUGCCGUAAAUACUGUAGAACUAGGGAGUGGGAGAGGUAGACGGUACUCGAUAGGAAGGGGUAAAAUCCUUUGAUCUAUUGAUGACCACCUGUGGCGAAGGCGGUCUACCAGAACACGUUCGACGGUGAGGGAUGAAAGCUGGGGGAGCAAACCGGAUUAGAUACCCGGGUAGUCCCAGCUGUAAACGAUGCAGACUCGAUGAUGCAAUGGCAUAGAGCUAUUGCAGUAUCGCAGGGAAGCCGUUAAGUCUGCCGCCUGGGAAGUACGUACGCAAGUAUGAAACUUAAAGGAAUUGGCGGGGGAGCACCACAAGGGGUGAAGCCUGCGGUUCAAUUGGAUUCAACGCCGGG
RNAcentral lists this ribosomal RNA (914 nucleotides) under uncultured marine archaeon. RNAcentral's name for it is "bacterial SSU rRNA". It matches the Rfam family "Archaeal small subunit ribosomal RNA", at positions 1 to 922 of the family's 1478-position model. The record is from RNAcentral.